UAGCAUAUCAAUAAGCGGAGGAAAAGAAACUAACAAGGAUUCCCCUAGUAGCGGCGAGCGAAGCGGGAAGAGCUCAAAUUUAUAAUCUGGCACCUUCGGUGUCCGAGUUGUAAUCUCUAGAAAUGUUUUCCGCGUUGGACCGCACACAAGUCUGUUGGAAUACAGCGGCAUAGUGGUGAGACCCCCGUAUAUGGUGCGGACGCCCAGCGCUUUGUGAUACAUUUUCGAAGAGUCGAGUUGUUUGGGAAUGCAGCUCAAAUUGGGUGGUAAAUUCCAUCUAAAGCUAAAUAUUGGCGAGAGACCGAUAGCGAACAAGUACCGUGAGGGAAAGAUGAAAAGCACUUUGGAAAGAGAGUUAACAGUACGUGAAAUUGUUGGAAGGGAAACGCUUGAAGUCAGACUUGCUUGCCGAGCAAUCGGUUUGCAGGCCAGCAUCAGUUUUCCGGGAUGGAUAAUGGUAGAGAGAAGGUAGCAGUUUCGGCUGUGUUAUAGCUCUCUGCUGGAUACAUCUUGGGGGACUGAGGAACGCAGUGUGCCUUUGGCGGGGGUUUCGACCUCUUCACACUUAGGAUGCUGGUGGAAUGGCUUUAAACGACCCGUCUUGAAACACGGACCAAGGAGUCUAACAUGCUUGCGAGUAUUUGGGUGUCAAACCCGGAUGCGUAAUGAAAGUGAAUGGAGGUGGGAACCGCAAGGUGCACCAUCGACCGAUCUGGAUUUUUAAUGAUGGAUUUGAGUAAGAGCACGUAUGUUGGGACCCGAAAGAUGGUGAACUAUGCCUGAAUAGGGCGAAGCCAGAGGAAACUCUGGUGGAGGCUCGUAGCGGUUCUGACGUGCAAAUCGAUCGUCAAAUUUGGGUAUAGGGGCGAAAGACUAAUCGAACCAUCUAGUAGCUGGUUCCUGCGA
RNAcentral lists this ribosomal RNA (906 nucleotides) under Rhodotorula mucilaginosa. Its description in RNAcentral is "LSU rRNA". It matches the Rfam family "Eukaryotic large subunit ribosomal RNA", at positions 36 to 963 of the family's 3401-position model. Lineage: Eukaryota; Fungi; Basidiomycota; Microbotryomycetes; Sporidiobolales; Sporidiobolaceae. The record is from RNAcentral.